AAGGGAGACCUAAUUCGGGUAUAAGACGAAAAAAGAGUAGUCGAAACCAAGAAUCAAUCCCAAAAGGUCGGAACGAGGUAUGUGGCUUUCAAACUAGGUUCUGGGUUCACACAAGACCUGAAUCAGGAACAAGGGCUAUUAGCUCAGGUGGUUAGAGCGCACCCCCGAUAAGGGUGAGGUCCCUGGUUCGAGUCCAGGAUGGCCCACCUGCACAGGUGGCAAAAACAAAGAAGCGAGGAAUCAGCACCUUAUCUUAUCUAUAUAUAAGAGAGAAUGCUGGCUCUGAGUAAAGAGUCCAGAGGAACCUUGAAAACUGCAUAGAGCUAGGUGAAAAAGCCAAAAAAGAAGACCGCAA
RNAcentral lists this transfer RNA (355 nucleotides) under uncultured Microcystis sp. RNAcentral's name for it is "partial 16S-23S ribosomal RNA intergenic spacer". The stretch from base 133 to 206 matches the Rfam family "tRNA". The record is from RNAcentral. Lineage: Bacteria; Bacillati; Cyanobacteriota; Cyanophyceae; Chroococcales; Microcystaceae.